AGUUUGAUCCUGGCUCAGGAUGAACGCUAGCUACAGGCUUAACACAUGCAAGUCGAGGGGCAGCAUGAACUUAGCUUGCUAAGUUUGAUGGCGACCGGCGCACGGGUGAGUAACACGUAUCCAACCUUCCGUUUACUCAGGGAUAGCCUUUCGAAAGAAAGAUUAAUACCUGAUAGUAUGGUGAGAUUGCAUGAUAGCACCAUUAAAGAUUUAUUGGUAAACGAUGGGGAUGCGUUCCAUUAGGUAGUAGGCGGGGUAACGGCCCACCUAGCCGACGAUGGAUAGGGGUUCUGAGAGGAAGGUCCCCCACAUUGGAACUGAGACACGGUCCAAACUCCUACGGGAGGCAGCAGUGAGGAAUAUUGGUCAAUGGGCGAGAGCCUGAACCAGCCAAGUAGCGUGAAGGAUGAAGGUCCUACGGAUUGUAAACUUCUUUUAUACGGGAAUAAAGUAUCCUACGUGUAGGAUUUUGUAUGUACCGUAUGAAUAAGCAUCGGCUAACUCCGUGCCAGCAGCCGCGGUAAUACGGAGGAUGCGAGCGUUAUCCGGAUUUAUUGGGUUUAAAGGGAGCGCAGACGGGAGAUUAAGUCAGUUGUGAAAGUUUGCGGCUCAACCGUAAAAUUGCAGUUGAUACUGGUUUCCUUGAGUGCAGUUGAGGCAGGCGGAAUUCGUGGUGUAGCGGUGAAAUGCUUAGAUAUCACGAAGAACCCCGAUUGCGAAGGCAGCUUGCUAAACUGUAACUGACGUUCAUGCUCGAAAGUGUGGGUAUCAAACAGGAUUAGAUACCCUGGUAGUCCACACGGUAAACGAUGGAUACUCGCUGUUGGCGAUAUACUGUCAGCGGCCAAGCGAAAGCAUUAAGUAUCCCACCUGGGGAGUACGCCGGCAACGGUGA
This 895-nucleotide ribosomal RNA is filed under the name uncultured bacterium. RNAcentral describes it as "bacterial SSU rRNA". It matches the Rfam family "Bacterial small subunit ribosomal RNA", at positions 10 to 897 of the family's 1533-position model. The record is from RNAcentral.